Molecule: small nucleolar RNA, 90 nt
Organism: Macadamia integrifolia
Lineage: Eukaryota; Viridiplantae; Streptophyta; Magnoliopsida; Proteales; Proteaceae
Product: small nucleolar RNA R24
Exons: 1
Source: RefSeq, a predicted model, not a curated record
UUUGCAAUGAUGAGCAGCUAACAUGUAAGAAGUUGCCCUUUAUGGGGAUCUUCAAUGAGAUGUUCUUGUUACGCUUGGCUUCUGAGCUAC